Non-coding RNA from Caenorhabditis elegans, 212 nucleotides. The record is from Ensembl. NCBI's taxonomy places the organism in Eukaryota, Metazoa, Nematoda, Chromadorea, Rhabditida, Rhabditidae.
CCUAGAAGAGAUGCUUUCAACUUCUACUUUUCUGGUCAUAUGUAAAUAGUUGGGUUUUUUGACAGUUUGACAGGUUUACGGCAGUCAAGACGACAAAAAUGGUUAUCAAAAGGAGCUGGCAUACAGCCAAUACCACCAGUUCUGAUCUUUUUACGAUUAUCAAAUUGUACAUGGGGGGUUAAGUUGAAUUUUAGUUUCAUUUUUUCAAAAGU